ACUGGCUGCUUCUGCACAUUGCCCAGAUCCACAGAGCAGUGGUUUGUGGAAAGACUGCGGUAGUUCCUGUUUGCCCUUGUGAGAUAGAGUUUUUCUGGGUUUUCCUUGGACUGUCUGAGCUUUUCUUCCUUUCUCCUGGCCCUGCUGCCCUGCAGUGACUUUAGGACCACUUCCAGACUGAAAAGAAACAACUUUUUGUGGAGUUCUCCACCAGGCUCCACUAAUGGGGUUAGCUUUGGCCACAAGAGGAUUUUUCCUGGGACUGAGAGAAGAAAGUAGAGCAGAAUCCAUUCCUUUCAAAAGUUGUUGCAGUCAGGAAAAGAUGUAGUGAUGCCUGGCCAUCUCCAGCUUCCGUAUCAUAGCGGUCAUUACUCGCUACUAGUCUAAGUCAAACAACAAUGGCCUCACGAACUAGUGUACAUUUUCAGCAGAGGUGACAGCUUCCAAAGACCUCUCCAAGAACUCUACCUUUGGGAGUCCACUUCAGCUGCCAGAAGAGGAUGCGCGGCUGGAAGAGUUUUCUGCAAGCACUGUGUUGCCCACUCAAGUCAGUGUACAAGCUGUGAUGGAUGUAUUAGAAAAUCUCUGGACCUCAGAAAUUAUAAGCAACGUCUCCCCAAGUUACACUGCUUCUAUAUGAUGCAGGCUGGAGUCACAUCCACAUUUGUCCAAUGCUGUAGUCAACUCUUCGUAAUGUGCUACAGGAGAGGUAAGAUAAUGCAGUCUAGUCCACAGGACUAUGAAUGCAUGUGAUCUCAUUCAGAAGACUAAUUGUCACUUAUAAUUGCCAAACUAAUUAGUUAUAGUUAAUGAAUGGUAACUUCCACAAAUACUUACUUUAAUUUCCUAAGUAUUUUCGGUUAUACCUAUCAAAUCAUACUAGUGCCAUUCCGUAACACUUCGAUUUUUUUCAAAUAAACUUUUUCAAAGUGAAGUUUAACUUUUUCCUGAUACCUUAGUGAAUUUGGUGCUAUUUUACAUUUAUGACUAAAAGCACUUGCCUUGUUUGAGAUGCUCAAAUUGCCCAUAGUCUUCUAGGUAUGUAUAAAUCCCUGAGUAGUGAUUUUAAGAAAAAUAAUUCUUGCUAAACUUUUAUUCUCAAGGGAUUUUAUAUUGUCAACAUAGUACAGAAUCUUAAUUUAACUUAAGUUUUAAAUGUAUCUUCAUUUUUUUCUUUAUAUAAUUAACUUCAACAGGAAAAUAAUUGAUGAAAAACCAAUAUAUUUAUCAUUAGGAAGGUUUGGGACUUCUUAAACAGUACAAAAGUUAGCUGUGUAUUUAAGAAUGCAAAGAAUGCAUUGACUUCUAGGUAAAUGAAACAUAAACAGAGAAUCUGGAAUCUAAAAUUUGAUGAGAAUUAGUUUUCGAGUACUGUCUCAACAUAUUUCUCUAGAUAAUAUAUUGUUUAAAACCAUGUUAUAUCCUUGUCUAUAAAUACUACACUAAGAUCUUACAUAGCCUUGUAAAUGCACAUCAAAUGUACUUAUAGUAUUUCCUAGGACUCCAUGAUAUGCAAUUACUUUGCCAAAGACCUUUGGUUCUUCAUAUUUUAAUAUUGUGCGACCUAUUAUUAAUCUCAGUAUAUUUAUUUGCAUUUUUAAUGAUUUAAAUACAUUAUAUUUUUACUUAUUUAUUGUAUCAGCCUCCAUUUGAACAACUAAUUUGGUACCGCAGGUGCGGUCCUAAAAAGCAAAGAAAAACCCAACCAACCAACCAAACUUGCUUUGGGCAAGAAUCUGAGGAGAUGAAAGCUUUGCAAAGAUACGUUAAGACAUCAGUAGAGAAAUAAUCUUUUGAAAAAUAAUUAAGACACGAUAAGGAUAUGAAAGACACAUUAAAAAGACAGAUUAGUGAGGUAAUGUCAGGCAAGUGUCAGAGAGAAAAUGAUGUUUAAACUCAGACUUUCGGAAGACGUGUUCAUUGGUACAGAGAGUGAAGGUGGGCAAUCCAGGCAAAGGGAAUGGAAUGUGAAAAGGCACUGAGACUUCCCUGCCUUAUGGGGCCUGCCUGGCACACGAGAGAUGAGCCACUGGGUGUAUACGACAGCUGAUAGCUUGGAGGCAUGAAACAUAUCAAUCAAGAAAAUUAUAAUCAUAUUUUAUUCUAAAUGAAUAACGGGAAGCACUGUGAUGAGUGCUUUGGAGAAGUAAAAACUAGAGGCCAAGAAUAUUGUGACAAACAGUCUGGGAACAAGAUCUUGAGUGGUCUCUGAAUGAAAAUGAUGGACAAGCAGACAGAGAAGGCAAAUUGGAAUUUACUGAUCUAGAGAAGGUAAAAGCAACAAACCUUAGGUACUGAUUAGAUGUUUGAGUUUUGGAAGAUGAAGAGAGAGUCACCUUGGACUUUGGUCACUCACUACCUUAAUUUUUAUAUUCAUUCAUUCAGCAAAUAUUUGUUAAGUAAUGUCUUGGGAAAGAGCUGAAUGAGACUUAAUUUCCUCAUACCUUAUAGGGAAGGAUUGACACAUAAACAAUCCAAGGACGAGGGAUGGAUGCUUAAAAUUAUAACAAAAUCCAUGCAUAACUAACUACUCGGUCUAUUUAAAUUUAGAGAUUAUUUAAAUUCCUUAAAAAAGUGUCUUAUUUCACACCUUUAUAACUCUGUUUUUCCUGGGAGGGUGUUUCUGUUGUCCAGGUGUUUUGUUUCUUUUUGAAAUUCAGAGUGACAAUACACCAUUUCCAUCCCAGAGGUGUCUUUGUUUGCAGAGCGUUAUUUACUCUAUCAAAUGCCAGGGCUGCUAUAACAAAUUACUGUAAAUUAGGUGGCUUAAAAGAACAGAAAUGUAUUCUUUUAGAGUUUGGGAGGCUAGAAGUCUGAAAACCAGGUAUGGCAGGGAAGUUCUUUUUGAAAGCUCACCUGCAAGUCCUCUUCCUGCCUUUAAGCCCAUAACUUCCUUUUUCUUAGAACAUUCACUUUUCAUCACUGGGAACUGUAAAUUCUUUCUCUGCCCUUUUGAUAUGCAGAUCUUUUUCCCAGCUUCCUAUCAGUUUUACAACCCAGAAAUCUCCUUCUCAAGGACCACCUCUUUGAAACUUACUGAUGGAUGAAGGCCAGCGCCCCUUAUCUCCCAGUUCCUGUGAGAGGGUAGAAGCCUAAUUCUAAUUAGGAUACAAGUCAGUCAUUGGAUGAGGAGCCCAUGCUAAUCCAGCAUGACUUCCUUUUAACUGGAUUAAUCUACAAGUACCUAUCUCCAGAUAAGUUUACAUUCAUAGGUACCAGGGGCUGGGAUUUCAACAUGUGUUUA
Non-coding RNA from Sus scrofa (pig), 3244 nucleotides. The record is from RefSeq and is a predicted model, not a curated record. NCBI's taxonomy places the organism in Eukaryota, Metazoa, Chordata, Mammalia, Artiodactyla, Suidae.